AAUAGCUCCUUUAGGUUGGGGCGACCUUGGAAAAAAAAAGAACUUCCAAACUAAAUGACCUACACCACACCUCAUAGGCCAACAAGCCUACAAUCGACCCAGCACAGCUGAAUAAUGAACCAAGUUACUCCAGGGAUAACAGCGCCAUCUUCUUCAAGAGCCCAUAUCAAAAAGAAGGUUUACGACCUCGAUGUUGGAUCAGGACAUCCUAUUGGUGCAGCCGCUAUUAAGGGUUCGUUUGUUCAACGAUUAACAGUCCCACGUGAUCUGAGUUCAGACNGGA
This 283-nucleotide ribosomal RNA is filed under the name Boaedon angolensis. RNAcentral describes it as "partial large subunit ribosomal RNA". It matches the Rfam family "Bacterial large subunit ribosomal RNA", at positions 2259 to 2620 of the family's 2925-position model. The record is from RNAcentral. Lineage: Eukaryota; Metazoa; Chordata; Lepidosauria; Squamata; Lamprophiidae.